CUGCGGUUCAUGGGGUCACAAAGAGUUGGACACAACUGAGAGACUGAACUGAACUGAGGUAUAAAGAGGCUUCUGCCCUCUAAGAAUAUCACCUUCUUUUGAAGUUUUUCUUCACAGAAGCUCAAAGUGGCCUAAAUAGUAUGUUUAAGGUCUCUGAAAAUUGGGAUGUAGUUAGAUCGAAGGACAAAUUAUCACUCGAAUGAUAAAUGAUAGUGUUUUCAACUCCUCAGUACGGUAUCUUUUCCAUGGUGAUCCUGUGACUAAAUGGUCUUCUCUCUCCAGGGAAGCCUCUGAAAUCUUCACACAGCAACUAGAACUGCAGCUCCGGAGCUGUGCGGGCUCUGCAGGAGUGCUGGCCACAUCUAAGCCCAGGGGCUACUUUCAGGGCUGCUCUGCUCUUACUUCAGAGACGAUGUCAGCUCUUUAUGAUGCAGGAGCCUGAGAACAAUGCCAGGGCAGCCUGGCCUCCUGUGUUCUUUACUAAGUGGUUAGUUGCCUGCCCAGUAGACUGAAAGCACCUUCUGCCAAAGAAAUGUGAGAAGAGUUGAAAACGUGCUAUUUGGAGACUAUUCUCCUAGUAGACAUCCAGGAGAUCUCCAGAGAUCUAAUUCAGCCUCACUUCUCCACAACUUCAUCAUGAAAAAGAGGAAGCCCAAACUGAAGUGAAUUAAAACUUUGCCUCCAAAAGGAUUGUGGCUUGGCCCUGAGUUGAGGUUUAUACGUAAGUGCAAUGAAGAAGAGUAACAGGAAAUCUCCCACAAGGAUCGACGAGAAAGAUGACAUCUGUGUCCCAGACUCCAAGGAUCAAGGAGAGCUUCAAAAUAUGUUGAAUGGAGGAGAAUACGCCCCUUUUGUAUCUCCUCCCAUAUUAGAAAGCAAUUUUAUCCAGGUCAACAGGAGAGGGGAAUCCAUUUACCUUCAUAACCGAGCCAACUGGGUGACCGUAGGCAUCUGCUCUUCCAGUCCCACCACCAAGACCCCUAACGUGAUGUUGCUGGCUCAUCUGACACCCACCGCCCAGAAAGAUUCAGAACCCCUGUUUACAAGUCUCCUGACAUCUCCUUCUCCAGAAAAUCUGGUGCUUACCAGGUUUCUCCCUCUGCAGUUUGUGACUCUCUCUGUACAUGAUGCCGAGAAUAUGCGCAUCAAAGUAAAGCUGGUGAGUGGCCGAGCCUACUACCUACAGCUCUGCGCCCCUGCAUGCAGACAAGAAGCCCUGUUCGGUCAGUGGGUAGAGCUCAUCUCCCUCUUGAAUAAGGAGAAAGCCAAAGCUUCCAAAGUGUCGGAAGUCUCCAGCCUCUCGGAAAUCACAAACAGCACAGACAUCACAGGCUCAGUGGACAUCAUGGAUAUAGCAGCCUUCCCCACCAUACAGACCUCACACCUGUCCACAUGUUCAGACCCCAACAACGAUGUAGAAAGCGUUGAUUUCUCGGAAUUCACAGACAUCACUGAUGUCACCGACGUCACGGAUAUUCCAGAAAAUGAGGUCACUGAGGCCCCAGAUAUAAAUAUUGUCACAGAAGUCACAGAAGUCACAGACAUCUGUGGAGUCACAGCAAGCUCAGGGGUCAGAGUGGUGUUUGAAAAUGAUGACAUACUCAAGGCCAAGCAGGAGGAAAAGGAAAAAAUGGAAAACGUUCUGAAGUCUGGGUGUUUACGAGAUACAAAAAGUAAGAAUGAGUUUAGAGAAUCCCCAAAACGUGUCACCAUCUCAAACCUAGCACUGACUUUCGAAGGUGAAAGAUGUUUUCAAACUACCUUGACUCCAGAAGAAGAUGAGACAGAGAAAUCCAAAGAGAUGAGCGACAGACCCCGCGAAAUAAGGACAAUGGACUCUGAAAGCACAACUCUCAAGGCUGAAGAAUCCAGGAGCAGGAGAACUGAUUCAGACACUUCAGGCUUGUACAGUUUUUCAAUUUUCCCUCUGAUUUGCAUUUCUUUCCCCUUUGCCACACUCCUCUGAAUCACUUUUUUCCCCUUUCACAUUCCCUUACUCACACUUAACACUCUUCACCCGAAGGAAGCAAAGAUUAGUAACCUUGUCCUAUUGAAUUUAGACUGAAUGUAGACUGAAUAUAAGUUUGUAAAUCUGAUUUCUAUUUUAGGCAGAAGCCAGAAUAAUAACUGUUCUCACAAGAGUAAAUCAAAUCACUGUUUCUAUUAACUUCAUCAGAUUCACAUUCAACAACUCUUGGGCAAGGCUAGUUGGGGACAGCAGUCUCCAAUUCUCUCUAACCUCUGAGCAGUUUGGAAGAAUUACACUUUUCCUCCUUUUUGAGUAGGGUUUCACGUAAAGCAGCACUUCAAAUGUACUGUUUUUAUGAAAAGUCUACAAGGUAGGGCCCAGGCUAAACCCAUCUCUUUGGAUCUGGGUCCAUCUCUCUCCUUUCUUGACUUUCCAUUUCUUACCUUUCUAAGAUUUAUUCUCUUUAAUUUUGCUGAUUUUCUUUACAAUGAGCCCAAACAGUAGGCUUAUCUAUGAUCCCCUGGCAUUUUUCCAAGAUGGAAAGAAAUGAGACAAAGAACAGAAAUUAAGAAAAGAAGAGAGAGAGAAAUCAUUUUUGAAAUACUGGCUAUGUCCUCCCCUCCCCCACCCAUCUAUCUUUUCCAUUUUCUUCUUAAUUAUGGCAAAUCAAACCCUUGGAAUCCUAAGAAGUAAUGGGAGAAUUCUAAAAGGGAAACUGAAAUUUAAUAAUGGGCUCCAUUGGAAAGAAUAAAGACAUUUUUGAUGAGGUUAGAAAAUCAUUUGAAUUUAAGACUCAAGUUCUCUCUUUCUGUUACUUUCUUCUCUCUGGUUCUUGGCCUUUUUCUUUCUUACUCAUUUCCUCUUUCUGAUGAUCUCACUUACACUUUGCUGGACUGUUUCCUGGCUCUCUGCUCUCCUGUCAAAUCCUCUCUAAAUUCCUCACUCUCGUGCCUCAUCUGUCGUCCCUUUCUCAGGGGAAUGGAUGUCAGGAAAGGAAAGUAAAACAGGAAAAGAAAAGGCCAGUGGAAAAAACGUGUAAGACAACUAAGAUAAAUGUAAACUACUAAAUUAAAAGCAAGCACAGCUCAAGAAAUAACAAUUGAAGGAAGGGAAAACAAAGCAGCAUCUUUCAUGUGGCAGAAAUAAAGGCUACUACUAAUCAUUAAGCAUUUGAUCCAUGUCAAUCUUUCUUAAAUCUUAAUGAUUGUUAAUUGUGGAUAUUGAUUUUAAAGUAGAGAACUAUAUACUUCAUAAACUCAAUUUUUAUCUGUAGGGCUUCUUUUCUGUGGGACUGUUGAAUGAAUAUGUUGUUCUCUUUGGUUUUACUUUUCUCAUUUGGACAUUACCCCACCACUGAUAGCAUAUUGAAAAGCAGAGACAUUACUUUGCCAACAAAGGUCCAUCUAGUCACGGUUAUGGUUUUUCCAGUGGCCAUGUAUGGAUGUGAGAGUUGGACUGUGAAGAAAGCUGAGCA
Bubalus bubalis (water buffalo) is the source of this 3443-nucleotide RNA transcript. It is a transcript of the gene named family with sequence similarity 71 member D, with no coding region annotated. NCBI's taxonomy places the organism in Eukaryota, Metazoa, Chordata, Mammalia, Artiodactyla, Bovidae. The transcript is spliced from 9 exons. The record is from RefSeq and is a predicted model, not a curated record.